Anas platyrhynchos (mallard) is the source of this 985-nucleotide long non-coding RNA. RefSeq lists it as uncharacterized. The record is from RefSeq and is a predicted model, not a curated record. NCBI's taxonomy places the organism in Eukaryota, Metazoa, Chordata, Aves, Anseriformes, Anatidae.
GUGGUAACUGUUGCAUAGGGGGUGAUGAUUGGUCAAGCCACCUGAAUAACAUCACCAUUUCUCAUUUGAGUAAACCCAGCAUGGGUCACAGACAGCAGAACAUUUUAUGAAGCUUCAUAAGCCAGCAUGGUACAAAUUCUCCAAGGAUUUUUCCUGCUAUCCCCAAGAAAGUAGUGAGAAGUAAUUCUGUUACCUGAGAGAAGAGAAAAAGAAGCUUUAGUACUAAUUCAAGCUGCUGCACUUACUUUAGUUGAGGCAAACUGCUCUACUGAAUUUCCUGGAAAGAGUUCGUUUUACUGUUUCCAAAGGAGACCUGAACCAUGCAGAAUCGUCUGUAGAACAGAAAAUGAUCUGUUUUUAAAAACUACCUACAGCUUAAGUACAUACUAGUUUCCUAGAGAAGAGAAGAGAAGAGAAGAGAAGAGAAGAGAAGAGAAGAGAAGAGAAGAGAAGAGAAGAGAAGAGAAGAGAAGAGAAGAGAAGAGAAGAGAAGAGAAGAGAAGAGAAGAGAAGAGAAGAGAAGAGAAGAGAAGAGAAGAGAAGAGAAAAAUAAAAAAUAAUAAAAAAGCGCCUUAGCUUACUCCUGGAUAAUGAAAACAUAGUUCAAAUCUAUCUAUAGGCAAGUGUAACUGUGCUACCAGGUCUUCAAAUUUACAUCAUUCUGAAAAAUGUAAUGGGUUUCUUAACACCAUGAGUGACUCUGCAGAUAUUUGGCACUAGGCUUAACAUUUUCAUAUUAAUUUUAAUAUUGUGUUGUCUUCAUUCUUUUGCUAUCAUUGUAAUCCCCUACUUCUGAAAUUCCAUGUUUCAAAGUCUACUUGAAAGUCUCAUUUCAGUUAGAAAAACAUUUUAUUUUUUCCACUGUAACUGGAUGAUGAACAAAUACUGCCAGUAUAAGGUUCUUGUUCUAUACUUGCAAAUGUCAAUAUCAUAGCACCAUCGUGAACAUCUUGCCUUCACUUCAUGAGCAAUUCAGGAGUUUUAC